GAUGAACGCUAGCGGCAGGCUUAAUACAUGCAAGUCGAGGGGCAUCAAGGUACACGAAAGUGUAUUGUUGGCGACCGGCGGACGGGUGAGUAAUAGGUAGGUAACCUACCUCAUACUGAGGCAUAGCUGGGAGAAAUUCCAGGUAAUUCCUCAUGAGGUUAUAUGACACAUGUGAUAUAAUCAAAGGUAUCGCAAGGUACUGGUAUGAGAUGGGCUUACUGACCAUUAGCUAGUUGGUGAGAUAAGAGCUCACCAAGGCGAAGAUGGUUAGGGGUUUUGAGAGAGAGAUCCCCCACAUUGGAACUGAGAUACGGUCCAGACUCCUACGGGAGGCAGCAGUAGGGAAUAUUGGGCAAUGGGCGAAAGCCUGACCCAGCCAUGCCGCGUGAAGGAAGACGGCCUUAUGGGUUGUAAACUUCUUUACUACGCGAAUAGAGGUUAGUACGAGAUACUAAUAGGAAGGUAGUGUAGUAAAAGCACGGCUAACUCCGUGCC
This 495-nucleotide ribosomal RNA is filed under the name uncultured bacterium. RNAcentral's name for it is "bacterial SSU rRNA". It matches the Rfam family "Bacterial small subunit ribosomal RNA", at positions 28 to 509 of the family's 1533-position model. The record is from RNAcentral.